This 1021-nucleotide ribosomal RNA is filed under the name uncultured bacterium. RNAcentral describes it as "bacterial SSU rRNA". It matches the Rfam family "Bacterial small subunit ribosomal RNA", at positions 332 to 1346 of the family's 1533-position model. The record is from RNAcentral.
AGAAUUCCUUACGGGAAGGCAGCCAGUGGGGGAAUUAUUGCACCAAUGGGGGGAAACCCCUGAUGCAAGCGACGCCCGCGUGAAGGGAUGACGGCCUUUCGGGGUUGUAAACCUCUUUUCAGUAGGGAAGAAGCCUUUCGAAGGUGACGGUACCUGCAGAAGAAGUACCGGCUAACUACGUGCCAGCAGCCGCGGUAAUACGUAGGGUACAAGCGUUGUCCGGAAUUAUUGGGCGUAAAGAGCUCGUAAGCGGUCCGUCGCGUCUGCUGUGGAAACGCAAGGCUCAACCUUGCGCGUGCAGUGGGUACGGGCGGACUAGAGUGCAGUAGGGGAGUCUGGAAUUCCUGGUGUAGCGGUGGAAUGCGCAGAUAUCAGGAGGAACACCGGUGGCGAAGGCGGGACUCUGGGCUGUUACUGACGCUGAGGAGCGAAAGCAUGGGGAGCGAACAGGAUUAGAUACCCUGGUAGUCCAUGCCGUAAACGUUGGGCACUAGGUGUGGGGCUCAUUCCACGAGUUCCGCGCCGCAGCUAACGCAUUAAGUGCCCCGCCUGGGGAGUACGGCCGCAAGGCUAAAACUCAAAGGAAUUGACGGGGGCCCGCACAAGCGGCGGAGCAUGCGGAUUAAUUCGAUGCAACGCGAAGAACCUUACCAAGGCUUGACAUACACCGGAAUGUGCCAGAGAUGGUUCAGCCCUUUGGGCUGGUGUACAGGUGGUGCAUGGUUGUCGUCAGCUCGUGUCGUGAGAUGUUGGGUUAAGUCCCGCAACGAGCGCAACCCUCGUUCUAUGUUGCCAGCACGUGAUGGUGGGAACUCAUAGGAGACUGCCGGGGUCAACUCGGAGGAAGGUGGGGAUGACGUCAAAUCAUCAUGCCCUUUAUGUCUUGGGCUUCACGCAUGCUACAAUGGUCGGUACAAAGGGUUGCGAGANCCGUGAGGUGGAGCGAAUCCCAGAAAGCCGAUCUCAGUUCGGAUGGUAGUCUGCAACUCGACUACGUGAAGUCGGAGUCGCUAGAAUCGCA